Molecule: ribosomal RNA, 468 nt
Filed under: uncultured bacterium
Lineage: Bacteria
Description: partial 16S ribosomal RNA
Rfam family: Bacterial small subunit ribosomal RNA
Source: RNAcentral
GACGAACGCUGGCGGCGUGCUUAACACAUGCAAGUCGAACGGAAAGGCCCUGCUUUUGUGGGGUGCUCGAGUGGCGAACGGGUGAGUAACACGUGAGUAACCUGCCCUUGACUUUGGGAUAACUUCAGGAAACUGGGGCUAAUACCGGAUAGGAGCUCCUGCUGCAUGGUGGGGGUUGGAAAGUUUCGGCGGUGGGGGAUGGACUGGCGGCUUAUCAGCUUGUUGGUGGGGUAGUGGCUUACCAAGGCUUUGACGGGUAGCCGGCCUGAGAGGGUGACCGGCCACAUUGGGACUGAGAUACGGCCCAGACUCCUACGGGAGGCAGCAGUGGGGAAUAUUGCACAAUGGGCGGAAGCCUGAUGCAGCAACGCCGCGUGCGGGAUGACGGCCUUCGGGUUGUAAACCGCUUUCGCCGGUGACGAAGCGUGAGUGACGGUAAUGGGUAAAGAAGCACCGGCUAACUACGUG